GACGAACGCUGGCGGCGUGCUUAACACAUGCAAGUCGAACGAUGAAGCCGGAGCUUGCUCUGGUGAAUUAGUGGCGAACGGGAGAGUAACACGUGAGUAACCUGCCCUUGACUCUGGAAUAACUGCGGGAAACUGUAGCUAAUACCGGAUACGACCCUCGGAGGCAUCUCCUGGGGGUGGAAAGAAUUUCGGUCAAGGAUGGACUCGCGGCCUAUCAGCUAGUUGGUGAGGUAAAGGCUCACCAAGGCGACGACGGGUAGCCGGCCUGAGAGGGUGACCGGCCACACUGGGACUGAGACACGGCCCAGACUCCUACGGGAGGCAGCAGUGGGGAAUAUUGCACAAUGGGCGCAAGCCUGAUGCAGCAACGCCGCGUGAGGGAUGACGGCCUUCGGGUUGUAAACCUCUUUUAGCAGGGAAGAAGCGAAAGUGACGGUACCUGCAGAAAAAGCACCGGCUAACUACGUGCCAGCAGCCGCCGUAA
Molecule: ribosomal RNA, 484 nt
Filed under: uncultured bacterium
Lineage: Bacteria
Description: partial 16S ribosomal RNA
Rfam family: Bacterial small subunit ribosomal RNA
Source: RNAcentral